GAGUCUGGCUUGAGUCAGUGGUUGUGAAUCUAACCAGUGUGGCAGAGUACAUCGUUCAUAUCGAUGGGGUCACUGGUUCGAGUCCAGUACAGACCACCA
RNAcentral lists this transfer RNA (99 nucleotides) under Oscillospiraceae bacterium. RNAcentral's name for it is "tRNA-Met". The record is from RNAcentral. Lineage: Bacteria; Bacillati; Bacillota; Clostridia; Eubacteriales; Oscillospiraceae.